This 1050-nucleotide small RNA is filed under the name Rattus norvegicus (Norway rat). RNAcentral's name for it is "uncharacterized LOC102548977". Lineage: Eukaryota; Metazoa; Chordata; Mammalia; Rodentia; Muridae. The record is from RNAcentral.
CAGGCAACAACCAGUUCUUAGGGAAUCCAUGCAGAAGAGGAGACAGAAAGAGUGUGAGAGCCGGAUGCCUGAAAGGAACGUGUCUUCCAAACACAAGACUGGGAUAUGAACUCACAGAGACGGUGGCAGCUUUCUCAAGGCUUGCACAGGUUCGAGCCAGAUUCCCAGCCCCAAGAGAAAGCCAAGUGAACACAGGCUCCCACCUCUAACCACGAAGCUAUUUGCAACUGAUACCUGCUAGCAGAGAAAAAACUUAGUUUUCUCCAAUGGGGUGUCAGCAGGAGUAUUAAUUACACUUCAGGCUUCCGAAGGGGGGUAAAUAAGUUCAAAGGGCCAUCUGCCCCUGACCAGACCCCAGAGAAUCCCAAGUUUCAGCCUGCAGAGUGGGUGGACAGGAGAGCGAACUCAAGCCCAAUUCAUUUCCACUGAAGAGAAGCGCCGCUUGCUCCUUGGAGAUCUUCCUUACUGCAAGUCUCUGAGUGAACUGCCUUCCACGUAGAGGAACACAGGAGUGAAGAGGUAGCCAAUCCAGUUGGAAAGCAGAAAGCAGCGCCACCCGGGUGGCUUUUGGGUUGAACCGGAAUUUCCGGAAGCUUAGCCCUUUGUCCAGUCUGCUUGCUCUGUGCGCAUGCGUCCCACAGACAGCUCUCCUCUUACCAUUCUCUUUGCAGACAGAAAUCCAGCCGUGCUUUUGUGCCAUGAUCUGACACCUAGAUGCAUAUUCCUUGUGUGGUUUACCCUCCCGUGAUGUCUAGUACUGACUUCCAGCUUGACAAGAUCUAGAAUCACUAUGAAGACAAACCUCUGGUCGUACCAGUGAGGAGCUGCUUAGAUUUGGAAGCGGGAAGACCCAUUCUAAACCAGUGAUGCCAUUCCAUGGGGUGGCGGACUGGGUUGCAUCAGCAAGAGCAAGCGAUCCAAGCAUUAGCAUUCAAGGCUCUCUGCUUCUUGACUAUGGGUGUGUUGUGGCCAGUGCCCACAUGCUCCUGCUGCUACAGUGUCCUCUCCAUGCUGGCUUGGACUCUCUGUGUGAGCCAAAGUAAACCAUCC